AAAAAGAUAAGCUAAUUAAGCUAAUGGGCUCAUACCUCACAAAUAAAGGUACUAAUCCUUUUCUUUUUA
RNAcentral lists this transfer RNA (69 nucleotides) under Cleroidea sp. 2 KM-2017. Its description in RNAcentral is "tRNA-Met". It matches the Rfam family "tRNA". Rfam says of the family: Transfer RNA (tRNA) molecules are approximately 80 nucleotides in length. Lineage: Eukaryota; Metazoa; Arthropoda; Insecta; Coleoptera. The record is from RNAcentral.